UCCAGGAACCCACCUUGUUCUUCCACUUCUUCGCGUUCUUGAGCACGAUUGGAGGAGGUGGCUGUGCCGCCAUCGCUGGUGGAGGAGAAGGACGAGGAUUUCUUGGACGAGAAGAUGGAUGAGGUCUUGGACGAGAAGAUGGAUGAGGCCGCCUCCUGAUCGCUGCUGCUGGAUGGGCUUUGCUUCUUCUCGCCACGAUCAUCAUCGUCCUUGCAGUCGCCAUGACGAAGAAGAAGAUCUUCUUCCAAAUCGCUAGCGCUGCUG
Molecule: long non-coding RNA, 264 nt
Filed under: Selaginella moellendorffii
Lineage: Eukaryota; Viridiplantae; Streptophyta; Lycopodiopsida; Selaginellales; Selaginellaceae
Description: long non-coding RNA (SMOE_LNC002270)
Source: RNAcentral